RNAcentral lists this ribosomal RNA (582 nucleotides) under uncultured bacterium. Its description in RNAcentral is "bacterial SSU rRNA". It matches the Rfam family "Bacterial small subunit ribosomal RNA", at positions 338 to 916 of the family's 1533-position model. The record is from RNAcentral.
CCUACGGGAGGCAGCAGUGAGGAAUAUUGGUCAAUGGGCGUAAGCCUGAACCAGCCAUCCCGCGUGAAGGAAGAAGGCGCUAUGCGUUGUAGACUUCUUUUCCAGAGGAAUAAAAUUUUGUACGAGUACGGAACUGAAGGUACUCUGGGAAUAAGCAUCGGCUAACUCCGUGCCAGCAGCCGCGGUAAUACGUAGGGUGCAAGCGUUGUUCGGAAUCACUGGGCGUAAAGGGCGCGUAGGCGGGUUUGUAAGUCGAUUGUGAAAUCCCAAGGCUUAACCUUGGAGCUGCAGUCGAAACUGCAAGUCUUGAAUGUCUGAGAGGGUGGGAGAAUUCCUGGUGUAGUAGUGAAAUACGUAGAUAUCAGGAGGAAUACCGGCGGCGAAGGCGCCUACCUGGCAGUACAUUGACGCUGAGGCGCGAAAGCGUGGGGAGCAAACAGGAUUAGAUACCCUGGUAGUCCACGCCUUAAACCAUGGAUACUAGGCGUUCGGAGUGUUAACCCUCUGAGUGCCGCAGCUCACGCAAUAAGUAUCCCGCCUGGGAAGUACGGUCGCAAGGCUAAAACUCAAAGGAAUUGACGG